UUCCGUUCGCGUGAAACGCGAGCGGCGAAUCGAUCCGCGACUGCGGCGGCGGCUCUUUUUCCAAGACCAACUGCAAAACUGGAUUUGUAAUACAGACUGCGCAGCAAACGCGUCUCGGUGAUUAACGAUGGUCGAGAUGCGGCGUCGCCUUGCAUCGUACUUUUCCGCCGUUCAACGUCAGAUGUCUUGCAGUCUUCCAGUGCGACGACAUUCACAGAAUUUCUUUAGAUUUUCAACGAUGGAUUUCAUCAGACGGAGUUCGCAGUUUCAAGGACCGAGAGCCGUCCUCGUUCCUGACGACUUGGAGAGCCGGAAAAGGGACAGCGACACUGCGACGGCAACUGGAUUCGCUGCUUUCCACAUUUUUGUGUCAUGCUUUUAACGCGUGCUUUCACAUGCCCUCUCGACUGUAAGCUCGCGCCUCGUUAUAUUUCGAGCAUGCUCUAUGUUUAGAUCGGCUGCUCCUACAUCGCGCUUUCCUUCUUUCUCCUGCGAGCGCGAGUCCUCUCGUCUCCCUGCGGCGGUUUUCUCCUUCUCUUUCUCUCCGCUUUCUUUUGCUACGCCCUUCCUAGGGCCAGGGAUGAAGGAGAGGGUGCUUCAUGAGCACGCAGACCUCGAAAAAAAAUUCGUGCGGUUAUUUAUAGAUGAUACUUUUGCAGGAAUAUGCGCAGCGUUAUCGCGCAAUCAUCAAUGAUAAAUUCUCUAAGAGAAUCAUAAAGUCAACUCUUAAUGAAAUAUUUUUCAACACCGUGACUGAAAAAAUUAUGAUUUUUAUGUACAGAUAAAAAAUUGAAUAUUUUAUUUAUUGGAUAUUUUAUUUGAUUCAGAAUGGAUUCAGCAGUUUCUUCACUUAAGAAUCGCUCACAAAGCAAUAUUUGGUAUCGGUUGUUUGUGCGCUUGUUUGCUGCUCCGCCCACCUUACCUUUUAUCUUUACAUCUCAUAUCGUAUUUUUCGAUUCCAUAUUUCACGUUUAUGUGAGUUAUGUGCCUGUUAGGAGUUCCCCUCUUCAACGGGCUCACAAUAUCUUGUCCUUUCGCCGAGUUGUGGAAGUUGUACUUUCCGCUGUUUGUCUUCCGCAGAGAUGUUUCUACUCCGAAGUAGAUUCCGCUCUCUUUCUUCCUCUCUCUCUCUCUCUCUCUCUCUCUUUUCUUUUAUAUUAUGUUUGCUGUAUAUGCCACAUAAGUGCAGAAAGCAAACA
This is a long non-coding RNA of Ooceraea biroi (clonal raider ant), 1199 nucleotides long. RefSeq lists it as uncharacterized. The record is from RefSeq and is a predicted model, not a curated record. Lineage: Eukaryota; Metazoa; Arthropoda; Insecta; Hymenoptera; Formicidae.